GGUUCAUUCAAAUUUCUGCCCUAUCAACUUUCGAUGGUAGGAUAUAGGCCUACCAUGGUUUCAACGGGUAACGGGGAAUUAGGGUUCUAUUCCGGAGAGGGAGCCUGAGAAACGGCUACCACAUCCAAGGAAGGCAGCAGGCGCGCAAAUUACCCAAUCCCGACCGGGGAGGUAGUGACAAUAAAUACUGAUACAGGGGACUUUUGUCUCUUGUAAUUGGAAUGAGUACAAUUUAAAUCUCUUAACGAGGAACAAUUGGAGGGCAAGUCUGGUGCCAGCAGCCGCGGUAAUUUCAGCUCCAAUAGCGUAUAUUAAAGUUGUUGCAGUUUAAAAGCUCGUAGUUG
Molecule: ribosomal RNA, 344 nt
Filed under: uncultured fungus
Lineage: Eukaryota; Fungi
Description: SSU rRNA
Rfam family: Eukaryotic small subunit ribosomal RNA
Source: RNAcentral